CCUGUCGGAGCGGGCUAAUGUCACACACAGCCGCUGAGCCACUACAGAUCAGCCUCACCCAGGCCUGUGUGACCAAGUUAAUUCAGCCUUUGAGUGCAUGCAGGACAUUCCUCACUGACUGGGUGCCAACUCUCUGUUUCCUUAGGUAAUUCUGCCACAUCUUCCUGGCCUCUAAAGGCUGAGGUGGUCAGGAAUGUAGUCUUCAGAUCUCUUCUCUAUCUAUACCACUAAACAGGAGAUUUGAGUCACCUUGUCAGUGAGAUCAGAUCACAGGGUGGUUUUCUGAUCAACCCAUUUAAAUCAAUCCUCCCCAAAGUCCCUAUCCCCUUACUCUGUGUAUUAUACUUCAUAGCACUUUUUACAAUCUGACAUAUUACUGAUUAACCUGCUCGUUCAUUGUUUAUUCCUCACUGCCCAUUAGAAUGUAAGUUUCACCAGGACAGAGAUACUUUUUGUUCAUGGCUCUGUCUCCCACUCUGGAAAUACUUAAUGGAUAGUCAAUAAACAUCUGUUGAAUUAAUGAACAAACGAUUAGAUGAAUAAAUGAAUAGAUGCUUGAAAAUUGCAAAAUUAUUAUUAUUAUUAUUAGAGAUGAGAUCUUACUAUAUUGCCCAGGCUGGAUUCAACCUCCUGGGUUCAAGCGAUCCUCCUGCUUCAGCUUCCCCAGUAGCUGGGACUAGAGAUGCACACCAUCAGGCCUAGUUUUACAAAAUUAUUACCUUGGGAAAUGUACUCUAAUUCAAAAUCUUUACAGUCUCAACCAUCAUCCUCCUGUUGAAAUACUUCUUAAGAAGUAGUGUGUUAUCAGUAUAUCUUCUGUCUCAUCUGGACGUGGAAGGACAAUCACGAAAUAGUGGUCCAGAUUUGGCUCAGAGGCUAUAGUUUGCCCACCCCUGCUUUAUACAACUGGAAGAAAGAUGUCAAUUACCUACCUGCCCCGAGUGAGAUCAAUGAUACACAUUAGAGAGGUGGCUGGUAGGGGACCAGUGUGGCAGCCUCUUGUCCCCAGACUAAGCAAAACCAUCUGGCCCUCGGAGGAAUUGAACCCAUAUUAUCAACCUCAAUUAGCACCAUGUUUUACUCAAUUGAAGAAAUAAAAGUUGCAAUUAAUUCAACUGUCCUCGUCUUAGUCAUUAUCAAUUGCAAUAUUCUAUCCUUAUUUAGCUUCUAAAACCCAAAAGUUCAUGCUCCCGGACAAAGUACAUGGGAAAGUAUGAUAUGCCAGCAUUGUCACUAUUACAACUUGAAUGACUGCAGGAGAUUGUAUUUUUAAACUGCCUCAUCAUAGCCCUAUCCUCAAAUGUAUGCCAGGACUUCCAGAGAAGCAAAGUCACAUGGCUGUUUAUUCAAUGAGAAUUCAUGUUUAUCAUCUCUCAUCCCAAUCCUACUUCCCCUACACUAUUCUCCUGCUUGGCUCCUUGGAAAAGGAAACUGUCCUCCCUUCAGUUACAUUUUUGUCAUGUUCAAUGAGUUAAUUUUGUUGGCUCAGUUAUAUAUUUUAGUAUAAAUUAAAUUCAAGUUUCCUUUAUUUGAGUCUUUGGGCCAGUUGCAUUGCUUUAUACUUUCUGGUGUUCUCAAUUUCAACUUUGCUAGCAUUUAGAAGGCAAAGGCACUGUCUAGCAGAAGUAAUAAUCCUUUUAACUACCUAAUUGCUUCUGUUGGUUACCGCCGUUUGUCUUCUAGACUCAAGGCAUUGACUCUAGAUGACUUCCAAC
This 1715-nucleotide long non-coding RNA is filed under the name Homo sapiens (human). Its description in RNAcentral is "HSALNT0135368". Lineage: Eukaryota; Metazoa; Chordata; Mammalia; Primates; Hominidae. The record is from RNAcentral.